This is a long non-coding RNA of Sorghum bicolor (sorghum), 1739 nucleotides long. RefSeq lists it as uncharacterized. The transcript has 4 exons. Lineage: Eukaryota; Viridiplantae; Streptophyta; Magnoliopsida; Poales; Poaceae. The record is from RefSeq and is a predicted model, not a curated record.
GCCAUCUCCCCCGCCACCGCUCGCCACGCCUGCAACAGGCAAGGGGCAACACACACACGCAUCCUCUUCUCUCUCCCUCACUCUCUCUGCAAUGGAGGACGAGGACUAGGCUAGCACCCUGCAGCCCAAAUCAGAUCUGGGGCGCACAAGUGUGAAUCGGGCCUUGUUCACUGAUGGUUCACCGGAUCCGGUCGUUCACAGGCAACCUUGCCCUCCAUGCCGCCAGCGCCGGCGGGAUGGCUUUGUCGGCGGCGUACCCGACGCGGAUGAGAACCUGGAGGCAUUCAUCACCCGCAUCUAACAGAAGUCUCGAAAGAUCGAGACCCUCCUUAAGCAGUUGAAGCCAGUGGAGGCCAUGGAAAAACGGCACUCGAGGGGUCGCUGCUCCAGACCCGCGACGAGCGAUGCAAAGUUUUUUUUCUUCUCAUUAUAUGGCUCGUCCCAUUUCAUUCCGUGGAUUCAAUCUUGCGUGUUGAGUGCUACUGCUAGUGCGUUCUAGAGAUAUAUAGUUCAUUGUAUUCCAUUGUUUUUUCAGAAGUCACUGAACGAACUUGACUGUUCUUUUCUUUUUAAACCUAAUCUGUAGCUCAAAGAUACAUCGAGAGUUUUAGUAUAAGUUCUUGUGUUAAAUCUUCAUCUCACGUUUAAGUAUUAAGUGAAUACUUGUGCUGAAAAAAAGAAAGAAAACAGUUCUUGUUCUGGCAACAAUUAGCUCAUAUUUUUCUUGCAGCUUGAAUAUUUUGAUGCCAAUGGUGUAAGUGUGUGCGUGUGGUAACCUGAGAGGCUAAUUUGGCUUAACCAUGUAAAGAAAAUUUCCAAGGAUUAAUACAUGAUCUGUGUAUUUUGAUGUCAAUGUGUAUCAAUUAUUUUGCUGAUGUAAUUAAGAGAACUAAUGACUCACUUAUCUAAGGUUAUGACACUUCUUUGUAUUGUUCACUUCUGUCCAUGUUUUAUUUCUCAAGUUUAUGGCACUUCUUUUUUUUAAGAAAUGCAUGUGCUAGGAAAUGCUAGUUUUCUAUCAUAAUAAAUAGGUCAUUGAGUUUAGUCCUGUAAGAAAGAGUUACAAUAAAUAGGUCAUUGAGUCAUGUCCCUUUUUUUAACAGGAAAGUGAUCUAAAAUAAACGAACAGUAGUGAUAUUGAGUCAAGUGACAAUGUCCUAAAUAUUUCCUACUUGCUUAUCUAUUACAUUUUCUAUAUAUAUGUUGUGUAUUUCAAACAUGCAUGAAACAUAUACUGUACAGCAAGGCAUAAGUCAGGACUUCUUAUCUAACUUAGCUCUGGUUAACCAUAGAGAUAAAGACUAUUUCUUUUACUUGCAGUUCCCUAAAACAUAUUGGUGGUGGCGGUGGCAAGGACAACCGCCAAGAGAAUGGUCUUCUACUAGAUGGAAGUGCCAUUGCCAAGUUCUCGCUCCCUUAUACAGGUAGACUACAAUUUUACAUAUAGUGCUGUGAAAGACUGGGCUGCUGGAAGAGAAAGAAAUUGUCGAGUUAGAUGAUGCUCUGCCAGAUCCAAAAUUACUACGAGAUGUUGGGCUACUAGGACUCCGUCAAGGACGUUGGCACCUUCACAGCGGCAUGGCAGUAGACUGCAAAACUAUAAACUUAGAUUUAUUUACAGCCCUGGCACAGUGUAGUCUUUUUUCGCAACCCUAUCGGCCUAUUUGGAUGGAAUUGAGAUUGUGAAUCUUGUAUUGAAUGAGUGGAUCUUGUUUGAAAAAGUGUGGAUUUGUUUGCUA